AAACAAGUCUUGUGUUAUUGCAACGCUGGGAAUUAUUUUCAUUCCCAGCCAUAAUGAAUCUCAAACAGUCCCUCGAGAUAAGCACCCACCUUGCUUUCCUGUGAACUGCUGCCAAUAACAGAGGUGUCAAGUGAACUAGAGAAAAAGUCAUCCAAAGUACAAA
Pseudonaja textilis is the source of this 163-nucleotide non-coding RNA. The record is from RefSeq and is a predicted model, not a curated record. Lineage: Eukaryota; Metazoa; Chordata; Lepidosauria; Squamata; Elapidae.